Molecule: ribosomal RNA, 233 nt
Filed under: uncultured bacterium
Lineage: Bacteria
Description: partial 16S ribosomal RNA
Rfam family: Bacterial small subunit ribosomal RNA
Source: RNAcentral
UGGCCUUGACAUAGUAGAAACUUUCCAGAGAUGGAAAGGUGCCUUCGGGAAUCUACAUACAGGUGCUGCAUGGCUGUCGUCAGCUCGUGUCGUGAGAUGUUGGGUUAAGUCCCGCAACGAGCGCAACCCUUUUCCUUACUUGCCAGCAUUUCGGAUGGGAACUUUAAGGAUACUGCCAGUGACAAACUGGAGGAAGGCGGGGACGACGUCAAGUCAUCAUGGCCCUUACGGCC